RNAcentral lists this ribosomal RNA (210 nucleotides) under uncultured bacterium. RNAcentral describes it as "partial 16S ribosomal RNA". It matches the Rfam family "Bacterial small subunit ribosomal RNA", at positions 524 to 731 of the family's 1533-position model. The record is from RNAcentral.
UACGAAGGGGGCUAGCGUUGCUCGGAAUUACUGGGCGUAAAGCGCACGUAGGCGGCUUUUUAAGUCGGAGGUGAAAUCCUGGAGCUCAACUCCAGAACUGCCUUCGAUACUGAAGAGCUCGAGUCCGGGAGAGGUGAGUGGAACUGCGAGUGUAGAGGUGAAAUUCGUAGAUAUUCGCAAGAACACCAGUGGCGAAGGCGGCCUCAGCUG